Molecule: long non-coding RNA, 248 nt
Organism: Python bivittatus (Burmese python)
Lineage: Eukaryota; Metazoa; Chordata; Lepidosauria; Squamata; Pythonidae
Source: RefSeq, a predicted model, not a curated record
ACAAAGUACAUGCAGUCCCACCUUGCUUCAAUUCCAGAAACAGGGAAAAACUGCUUUAUUUCAACAUGCCUGCGGUCCCAGCUGCCUGACUCAAACUGUCCAUCAGUAUGUAUUCUUGAGCUCAAGAAAACAGAACUCUUUACCACUUUUACCUCUUCACCAUCAGCUGUUUUCAUACCAUGAGAAAAAGAAAUGGUCCUUCAGGAACGACACAACCUUACCAGAAGAGGAGACCCUGGAGUCAUCUU